CAGCCGCCGCGGGAAAACGUAGGGUGCAAGCGUUACUCGGAAUUACUGGGCGUAAAGCGUGCGUAGGUGGUGGUUUAAGUCCGUUGUGAAAGCCCUGGGCUCAACCUGGGAAUUGCAGUGGAUACUGGGUCACUAGAGUGUGGUAGAGGAUAGUGGAAUUUCCGGUGUAGCAGUGAAAUGCGUAGAGAUCGGAAGGAACAUCUGUGGCGAAGGCGACUAUCUGGGCCAACACUGACACUGAGGCACGAAAGCGUGGGGAGCAAACAGGAUUAGAUACCCGCGUAGUCCCUGUCUCUUAUAC
RNAcentral lists this ribosomal RNA (301 nucleotides) under uncultured bacterium. RNAcentral's name for it is "partial 16S ribosomal RNA". It matches the Rfam family "Bacterial small subunit ribosomal RNA", at positions 509 to 807 of the family's 1533-position model. The record is from RNAcentral.